RNAcentral lists this ribosomal RNA (308 nucleotides) under uncultured bacterium. RNAcentral's name for it is "bacterial SSU rRNA". It matches the Rfam family "Bacterial small subunit ribosomal RNA", at positions 32 to 327 of the family's 1533-position model. The record is from RNAcentral.
AAUCAACGCUGGCGGCGUGCCUCAGACAUGCAAGUCGAACGAUUAAAGCUCUCUUCGGAGAGUGUAUAGAGUGGCGCACGGGUGAGUAACACGUAAGUAAUCUACCUUUGAGUGGGGAAUAACCCGGGGGAAACCCGAGCUAAUACCGCAUAAUGCAGCGGGCACCGCAAGGUGACAGUUGUUAAAAGGAGCAAUCCGCUUAAAGAGGAGCUUGCGGCAGAUUAGCUAGNGGUAAGGUAAUGGCUUACCAAGGCUUCGAUCUGUAUCCGGCCUGAGAGGGGCGGUCGGACACACUGACACUGAAUAAC